CAAGUGAAUAAUUCCAUUAAUGUAAUCAUUUCCACAAAUAAUCCAUGCUCAAUCAUCAAAUUUAAAAACUAAGAUUUGCCCAAAAAAAUUGAUAUCUCCUUACCUUAGUGUAGAUAGAAAUUCAAGAAUCAAUAACUUGAGCUCCAAGUAGUAUUCAUCUCAAAAAUCUGAAAAUUUUGAGCCAAAUAAAAUCUUAGAAUUUUAACAUAAAUCAUACUUUAUCACUUGAAACAAAGGAAAAAAAUUAAACCCAAACUUCGAGGAAAUAACAUUACCUCAUUUCCUCUUCUUCCCUUCUCUUCCUUUCUUCCUUCUUUCUCUUUUUCUUCUCUUUUUUCCUUAGUUUUUCUCCUUUUUCGGUCUCUCCAGCUCUCUGCCCCGUUUUUAU
RNAcentral lists this long non-coding RNA (388 nucleotides) under Olea europaea (common olive). Its description in RNAcentral is "long non-coding RNA (OEUR_LNC010407)". Lineage: Eukaryota; Viridiplantae; Streptophyta; Magnoliopsida; Lamiales; Oleaceae. The record is from RNAcentral.